GGACCCGCACAAGCGGUGGAGCAUGUGGUUUAAUUCGAUGCAACGCGAAAAACCUUACCUACUCUUGACAUACUUGGAAGCUCUUGUAAUGAGAGUGUGCCUUUUGGAACCAAGAUACAGGUGCUGCAUGGCUGUCGUCAGCUCGUGUCGUGAGAUGUUCCGUUAAGUCGGAUAACGAGCGCAACCCUUACCCUUAUUUGCCAGCGAUUCGGUCGGGAACUAUAAGGGGACUGCCGGUGAUAAACCGGAGGAAGGUGAGGACGACGUCAAGUCAUCAUGGCCCUUACGAGUAGGGCUACACACGUGCUACAAUGGGGAAUACAGACGGACGCUAAGCCGCGAGGUGGUGCGGAUCUAUAAAACCGAUCUCAGUUCGGAUCGGGGUCUGCAACUCGACCCCGUGAAGCUGGAAUC
RNAcentral lists this ribosomal RNA (414 nucleotides) under uncultured bacterium. Its description in RNAcentral is "bacterial SSU rRNA". It matches the Rfam family "Bacterial small subunit ribosomal RNA", at positions 917 to 1333 of the family's 1533-position model. The record is from RNAcentral.